This 537-nucleotide ribosomal RNA is filed under the name uncultured bacterium. RNAcentral's name for it is "bacterial SSU rRNA". It matches the Rfam family "Bacterial small subunit ribosomal RNA", at positions 355 to 894 of the family's 1533-position model. The record is from RNAcentral.
UGAGGAAUAUUGGUCAAUGGACGGAAGUCUGAACCAGCCAAGUAGCGUGCAGGAUGACGGCCCUAUGGGUUGUAAACUGCUUUUGUAUGGGGAUAAAGUUAGGGACGUGUCCCUAUUUGCAGGUACCAUACGAAUAAGGACCGGCUAAUUCCGUGCCAGCAGCCGCGGUAAUACGGAAGGUCCAGGCGUUAUCCGGAUUUAUUGGGUUUAAAGGGAGCGUAGGCUGGAGAUUAAGUGUGUUGUGAAAUGUAGACGCUCAACGUCUGAAUUGCAGCGCAUACUGGUUUCCUUGAGUACGCACAACGUUGGCGGAAUUCGUCGUGUAGCGGUGAAAUGCUUAGAUAUGACGAAGAACUCCGAUUGCGAAGGCAGCUGACGGGAGCGCAACUGGCGCUUAAGCUCGAAGGUGCGGGUAUCAAACAGGAUUAGAUACCCUGGUAGUCCGCACAGUAAACGAUGGAUGCCCGCUGUUGGUACCUGGUAUCAGCGGCUAAGCGAAAGCAUUAAGCAUCCCACCUGGGGAGUACGCCGGCNCGG